Molecule: long non-coding RNA, 345 nt
Filed under: Amborella trichopoda
Lineage: Eukaryota; Viridiplantae; Streptophyta; Magnoliopsida; Amborellales; Amborellaceae
Description: long non-coding RNA (ATRI_LNC000227)
Source: RNAcentral
AUUACAUUAGAAGAGAUAACAAGAGACGGUAGGGAAGCACUACCUUUAGCCAAAGAAUCAACUAAAAAAUUAGCUGCACAAUAAGCAUGGGAUAAAGAGACUCUCAGAGGUUCCACCAAAACCAUGAACUGCAACCAUAGAGAACCAUGCUCCCAAGGAACUUCUUCUCCUUUUUGCACCAUCCAAAGAGUUACCUUGAAAAUUGGAAGAGAGUUAUAGGAUCUAGCUAUUAAUUUUAACUUUAACUUGGAACAUUGGAAGAGACUAAUGGUAAGUAUAUUUGAAUUUACUAAUAAAAAAACCAAUAUCCCCUACAAUAUUGUUUCCUAUAUAGGUUAAUUUUUU